This 216-nucleotide long non-coding RNA is filed under the name Apteryx rowi (Okarito brown kiwi). RNAcentral's name for it is "lncRNA (ENSARWG00000015737.1)". Lineage: Eukaryota; Metazoa; Chordata; Aves; Apterygiformes; Apterygidae. The record is from RNAcentral.
AUGAUCCGAACUGGGAGUAGCUGCCAGCAAGAGCCGCUCAUAGGGAAAGGCAGUGGCUGUUUACCUGCUUUGCUCAGCCAGACCAGGCGAGGACAGGGAGAACAGUUAAAUGGUUUGCCUUCAUCAAAAUGGACUGUUUGUUCCUGUCAGACGGCUGGAGAGAGAGGAAGGAUUCCUAUUGAUAUUCCCAUUGGUAAAAGUUGGAUCUCACUCUGA